GAGUUUGAUCUUGGCUCAGGACGAACGCUGGCGGCGUGCCUAAUACAUGCAAGUCGAGCGAGCGGAACUAACAGAUUUUACUUCGGUAAUGACGUUAGGAAAGCGAGCGGCGGAUGGGUGAGUAACACGUGGGGAACCUGCCCCAUAGUCUGGGAUACCACUUGGAAACAGGUGCUAAUACCGGAUAAGAAAGCAGAUCGCAUGAUCAGUACGUUUUAAAAGGCGGCGUAAGCUGUCGCUAGUGGGA
RNAcentral lists this ribosomal RNA (247 nucleotides) under uncultured bacterium. RNAcentral's name for it is "partial 16S ribosomal RNA". It matches the Rfam family "Bacterial small subunit ribosomal RNA", at positions 9 to 225 of the family's 1533-position model. The record is from RNAcentral.